Molecule: transfer RNA, 73 nt
Filed under: Stegodyphus mimosarum
Lineage: Eukaryota; Metazoa; Arthropoda; Arachnida; Araneae; Eresidae
Rfam family: tRNA
About the family: Transfer RNA (tRNA) molecules are approximately 80 nucleotides in length. Their secondary structure includes four short double-helical elements and three loops (D, anti-codon, and T loops).
Source: Rfam by way of RNAcentral
GCCUUCGUGGUGUAGUGGUCUGCAUGCUCGACUCAUAACCGAGAGGUACGUGGUUCGAUUCCCGGCGAAGGCG